GAUGAAGGGAGAGCGGCUGUGAGCAGUGCUCACAUCUACGGGCUCUCACGGAGUGUUUCACUUGAAGCAUGGAUCGUUUCAACGGCCGUGUACGUGCUGCCUUGACAGAUGCUGUGCAUCGCUACCGUACGAUGUGCCAGAAAAUCCGGAUGAUGAGGACCAGGGACAAACUCGCGCGUGGACGCUCCGCAGAGGAGGCAAUCGCGUUUGAAGAAAAAGGGAUGGCGAUGAUGCACUUGAAUCGGAGUUUUGUCUGCUGGAAAAUACAGCGUAUGGGACGUGUGAUAUCAGCGGUCUCGAGUCACGGAAAAGUGAGAGCGGAAAGGCAGCCUCCGUAGGAGCCGUGCUCUCUCGAUCGGGGAACACCCAACUUGUCCGUCUUCAGUUUCGGGCUCCGACUCGAUGGGGUACAAGAGGGCAUCACACGCCAAAGCAACGAAGCAUGCGCUGCGUUCAGCCGUAGCCGCAGGUUCCGCUCCUGCCCCGUUCACGUUUCACCGCUUCUGACGACGCUUAUAAAGUCACGGGGGUGGUAUCGAGCUGUGUUCUGCAUAUAAUUUUCAAGACAAGGCGCCCGAUUCCAAGUGCUCGGUGUCCAGACACCCGCCAUAUGAGUCAACGUGCAUGCUGGUCGAUGUCAUCAUCGGAUAUGUGCUCAAUGAACUUUCCUAUUUAGGUAGCUCGCAAACUCGACGGACGCAGCCCUUCAUGCAUUCAGAGUAUACGCAAUCCCAAGCGCCCAUCCCUUCUGUAAGGACCAAGUUUACGGCGAGGACGCCAAAACGUUGCAGGAAAUGCACGUGAACGGCUCCCGGUAUAGGUGUGUACUGGACUCGUUGGAACGGAGCCGCUCGAACUGCCACAUAUCGUCUGCGAAAGUGAAACCGAAACACCGACUAGGUAUGAGUCAGCGAUAUCUGAGGCGGCUUUGACACACGUAAGCCGCCUACGCAGCGCACGUCGCACUGUUGUGUUCGGGAUGAAACUUCCCCAGCUGGGCUGGGUGGCACUCAGAGAGCCACCCAGUCUCGUUUACGCUAUGAAUAUAGAAUUGGUAUCGGCGGGAUCCGUAUUCGUGCCUUCUAGAAGAGGCUGCGAAGCGGGUACGGCACCGGCGCAGGAAUGGAGCGCAUGCUUUUCCGCAUAUCGCGGAAUAAAGCGAAACGGGUCCAUUUUGCACACGCAGGCUGAACGAUAGUCUUUCAAGUGAAUCUCGUUUCAUUCCCAGUUGCUGUGUAUAUUCGGCGGUCGAAACAAAUAUGAAAUGAACACCAUGGAUCGUUGACGAAUUGCCUGAAGGAUAUCUACACAUCUUUACUGAACAAUGCAAAGAGGGCUGCAUUCCUCCUUCGGAUUCGUCACACCACAGUACUCUGAUGGUUGACGAGCACAGAAAGAAACAAGUAGAUGCGCUGCAUGCCAAAACCCGGUAUUCACAAAGACUGUUUGCGGUCAAUGGGAGACAACGACCUGUUGUUCACCUUACGGGAGAUGAAAGCGACAAUAGUAGCCACCAUGGGCGUCUCUGUUUCUCGACAGCUCAUUCGUAUGGUCUCGAAAACACUGGGAUACAAUCGCAAAAAAAGAGUCCUUGUUCAACCACGGCCAUUUUCCACCGAAAUCGCAACCACAACAAAGAUCCUGAAAAGUCACUACCGGUAUGAAGCAGAGGGACGUGGGUUUGUUUUUUUUCCAGUCGGUGAAACUUCCUUCGGACGAAACGAUCGGUGCGUAUAUGGGUAUUCAGGGGCGAUGGGCGCCCGGUCUACGUACGAUCGAAGUCGAAGAGAACGAGGAUAACAUC
This is an RNA transcript of Cyanidioschyzon merolae strain 10D, 1804 nucleotides long. RefSeq lists it as hypothetical. The transcript has a single exon. The record is from RefSeq and is a predicted model, not a curated record. Lineage: Eukaryota; Rhodophyta; Bangiophyceae; Cyanidiales; Cyanidiaceae.